GGGGGCGAUUGGAUUCGACCGGGCGAGAAGAAGGAAACGUGGCGUGUCGAGGUUGUCAGGUGGCCUCGUAAAAAACCUGGCGAAAAACCUAUAUGGCAACUACUCAUAUGCCAUGGCUGCCUAGAUAGCGGUAGCCCGUUGCGUGGGAGACGCCCACUAUUUUGCGCAGCGAUGACAGUGGGCUAGUGCUUGCCUGACGCCUGGCCGGGCUCGCGCGAAACAACAGUCGGGCUGGGGAAUCCGGAAGCCUGUCGACCGGCGUCCGAGGACCCGAGAUUUAAACGAUCGACUAUGCACGUAGAGGCGUUUCCGGAUCCGUCGCGGGACGGGGGUUCGAUUCCCCCCGCCUCCAAUU
This 355-nucleotide transfer-messenger RNA is filed under the name Phycisphaerae. RNAcentral describes it as "JADFIX01 sp022566435 Standard tmRNA". It matches the Rfam family "transfer-messenger RNA". Rfam says of the family: Bacterial tmRNA, also known as 10Sa RNA or SsrA, is named for its dual tRNA and mRNA-like properties. Its role is to liberate the mRNA from a stalled ribosome. RNAcentral also lists the same sequence under 1 other name. The record is from RNAcentral. Lineage: Bacteria; Pseudomonadati; Planctomycetota.